RNAcentral lists this ribosomal RNA (216 nucleotides) under Glomeromycotina sp. RNAcentral describes it as "partial small subunit ribosomal RNA". The stretch from base 40 to 216 matches the Rfam family "Eukaryotic small subunit ribosomal RNA", at positions 686 to 864 of the family's 1831-position model. Lineage: Eukaryota; Fungi; Glomeromycota. The record is from RNAcentral.
GGGUCAGUAGGUUGGUCGUGCCACCGGUACGUACUGGUCUCACUGAUUCCUCCUUCCUGAAGAACCGUAAUGCCAUUAAUUUGGUGUUGCGGGGAAACAGGACUGUUACUUUGAAAAAAUUAGAGUGUUUAAAGCAAGCUAACGCUUGAAUACAUUAGCAUGGAAUAAUGAAAUAGGUGGAUCGAUCCUAUUUUGUUGGUUUCUAGGAUUGACGUA